Molecule: ribosomal RNA, 254 nt
Filed under: uncultured bacterium
Lineage: Bacteria
Description: partial 16S ribosomal RNA
Rfam family: Bacterial small subunit ribosomal RNA
Source: RNAcentral
UACGUAGGGUGCGAGCGUUGUCCGGAAUUAUUGGGCGUAAAGAGCUCGUAGGCGGUCUGUCGCGUCGAUCGUGAAAACUUGGGGCUUAACCCUGAGCUUGCGGUCGAUACGGGCAUGACUGGAGUUCGGCAGGGGAGACUGGAAUUCCUGGUGUAGCGGUGAAAUGCGCAGAUAUCGGGAGGAACACCAAUGGCGAAGGCAGCUCGCUGGGACGGUACUGACGCUGAGACGCGAAAGCGUGGGGAGCAAACAGG